CAGUAGCCGCGGGAAUACGUAGGGUGCAAGCGUUAAUCGGAAUUACUGGGCGUAAAGCGUGCGCAGGCGGUUUGUUAAGACAGAUGUGAAAUCCCCGGGCUCAACCUGGGAACUGCAUUUGUGACUGGCAAGCUAGAGUCUGGCAGAGGGGGGUGGAAUUCCCGGUGUAGCGGUGAAAUGCGUAGAGAUCGGGAGGAACAUCAGUGGCGAAGGCGGCCAUCUGGGACAACACUGACGCUGAGGCACGAAAGCGUGGGGAGCAAACAGGAUUAGAUACCCCUGUAGUCCCUGUCUCUUAUAC
This 301-nucleotide ribosomal RNA is filed under the name uncultured bacterium. RNAcentral describes it as "partial 16S ribosomal RNA". It matches the Rfam family "Bacterial small subunit ribosomal RNA", at positions 509 to 807 of the family's 1533-position model. The record is from RNAcentral.